AAGUCGUAACAAGGUUUCUGUAGGUGAACCUGCAGAAGGAUCAUUAGUGAAGAUUUGGGCAGGCCAAACGGACGCCAAAAAGUGUCCCUGGCCGCCUACACCCACUAUACAUCCACAAACCCGUGUGCACUGUCUUGGAGAAAGGCUUCAGAGAAGUUUUUUGUGGCCUCUCUUGGGGUCUUUCUUCGCUACAAACUCGAAUGGUUAGUAUGAACGUGGAACUUGGUUGGACCGUCACUGGCCAACAAACUAUACACAACUUUCGACAACGGAUCUCUUGGUUCUCC
Molecule: unclassified non-coding RNA, 287 nt
Filed under: Malassezia restricta
Lineage: Eukaryota; Fungi; Basidiomycota; Malasseziomycetes; Malasseziales; Malasseziaceae
Description: partial internal transcribed spacer region
Rfam family: Eukaryotic small subunit ribosomal RNA (bases 1-46)
Source: RNAcentral